GACGAACGCUGGCGGCGUGCUUAACACAUGCAAGUCGAACGGAAAGGCCCUGCUUUUGUGGGGUGCUCGAGUGGCGAACGGGUGAGUAACACGUGAGUAACCUGCCCUUGACUUUGGGAUAACUUCAGGAAACUGGGGCUAAUACCGGAUAGGAGCUCCUGCUGCAUGGUGGGGGUUGGAAAGUUUCGGCGGUUGGGGAUGGACUCGCGGCUUAUCAGCUUGUUGGUGGGGUAGUGGCUUACCAAGGCUUUGACGGGUAGCCGGCCAGAGAGGGUGACCGGCCACAUUGGGACUGGGAUACGGCCCAGACUCCUACGGGAGGCAGCAGUGGGGAAUAUUGCACGAUGGGCGGAAGCCUGAUGCAGCAACGCCGCGUGCGGGAUGACGGCCUUCGGGUUGUAAACCGCUUUCGCCUGUGACGAAGCGUGAGUGACGGUAAUGGGUAAAGAAGCACCGGCUAACUACGUG
RNAcentral lists this ribosomal RNA (468 nucleotides) under uncultured bacterium. RNAcentral's name for it is "partial 16S ribosomal RNA". It matches the Rfam family "Bacterial small subunit ribosomal RNA", at positions 28 to 507 of the family's 1533-position model. The record is from RNAcentral.